CUCUGUGAAGUUUAUGUGAAUAAAAGCUUUGGGUGCUUUAGGUUUAUAGGGAGU
This 54-nucleotide transfer RNA is filed under the name Acanthogyrus cheni. RNAcentral describes it as "tRNA-Pro". Lineage: Eukaryota; Metazoa; Acanthocephala; Eoacanthocephala; Gyracanthocephala; Quadrigyridae. The record is from RNAcentral.